This 599-nucleotide ribosomal RNA is filed under the name Trichoderma erinaceum. Its description in RNAcentral is "eukaryotic LSU rRNA". The stretch from base 208 to 361 matches the Rfam family "5.8S ribosomal RNA". Lineage: Eukaryota; Fungi; Ascomycota; Sordariomycetes; Hypocreales; Hypocreaceae. The record is from RNAcentral.
UGACCAGCGGAGGGAUCAUUACCGAGUUUACAACUCCCAAACCCAAUGUGAACCAUACCAAACUGUUGCCUCGGCGGGGUCACGCCCCGGGUGCGUCGCAGCCCCGGAACCAGGCGCCCGCCGGAGGGACCAACCAAACUCUUUACUGUAGUCCCCUCGCGGACGUUAUUUCUUACAGCUCUGAGCAAAAAAUUCAAAAUGAAUCAAAACUUUCAACAACGGAUCUCUUGGUUCUGGCAUCGAUGAAGAACGCAGCGAAAUGCGAUAAGUAAUGUGAAUUGCAGAAUUCAGUGAAUCAUCGAAUCUUUGAACGCACAUUGCGCCCGCCAGUAUUCUGGCGGGCAUGCCUGUCCGAGCGUCAUUUCAACCCUCGAACCCCUCCGGGGGGUCGGCGUUGGGGAUCGGGAACCCCUCAGACGGGAUCCCGGCCCCGAAAUACAGUGGCGGUCUCGCCGCAGCCUCUCCUGCGCAGUAGUUUGCACAACUCGCACCGGGAGCGCGGCGCGUCCACGUCCGUAAAACACCCAACUUUCUGAAAUGUUGACCUCGGAUCAGGUAGGAAUACCCGCUGAACUUAAGCAUAUCAAUAAGCCGGAGGA